UAUGUAUAAUAUAUAUGUACAUUGGAUAUAUAUAUAGUACGCGAAGAAAAUCGUUCUAAAGAAGAAAAAUCUUACAGUUCGAUGAAAGAUAGGUUAAAGUUUUUUAAUGAGAUGUUUUGCUAUGAGUUUUCCCGAAAAACAAUUCUAUAAGUGAGCAUCAAGUACCUGAUAUAUAUACUGAAUGACUUCUGAUUGACUGGCAUUUUCCAGCGUACUGCCGUUGACUUGUAGAAUUUCGUCGGCCACUUCCAACGUGUCCGCGUUGUCGGCCGGGGAACCUGUAUCACAUUUCAAACAAUUCCGGCAAGUUAACUAAACGAACACACUUUCACAAGUACUUCAAGAAAUAAUAAUCAGAGUAAUUCAAUCGUCGAAUGAUUUACGAGUUGAACGUUCGUGCACGUAGAAAGGGGGAGAAAGAUAGAAAGAAAGAGAGAAAGAAAGAAACCAAUUUCUGAUAUAUAAAAGAACGAGUCUUAAGUGGAGAAAGAUGAUACGCGAGCAGACAGUAGAUGAAACUAUACAGACUAUGCAGGACGAACGGACAAGCCAAUUCGUUUGUAUGUCAAUGAUUACACAUGAUAGCGUCCUCGAGAAAAAAACACGAGAAACAAAAGAGAGAAAGGGUUUCACAGUUCACGCCUACGUGCUUGACAAGCAGCUUCGCUGACGCUCAUUAAACUGUAUGUAGCUGGUGCUAAUUAAAAAAAAAGAAAAAAAAGAAAAAGGAAAGAAGAAGAAAAAAAAAGGGAGGAAAGGAAUAUGUUUGUUAACUUUGCGACAGUAAACAGACAGCGAAGAUCGACCAUUUUUCCUGGCUUCGACGAUAGACGGCUGGUCUACUCGAUUACAAGGAGAGAGCGAUGCUUCAGGCGAAUCUUGACGCGACGUGCACGAUUAAAGUCGAUGAUAGGCGCAGCCGCCCCAUCACCGAAAAAAC
Frieseomelitta varia is the source of this 940-nucleotide long non-coding RNA. RefSeq lists it as uncharacterized. The record is from RefSeq and is a predicted model, not a curated record. NCBI's taxonomy places the organism in Eukaryota, Metazoa, Arthropoda, Insecta, Hymenoptera, Apidae. The transcript has 4 exons.